RNAcentral lists this long non-coding RNA (345 nucleotides) under Lupinus angustifolius (narrow-leaved blue lupine). RNAcentral describes it as "long non-coding RNA (LANG_LNC002592)". Lineage: Eukaryota; Viridiplantae; Streptophyta; Magnoliopsida; Fabales; Fabaceae. The record is from RNAcentral.
CUUUUUAUUGGCACAUAAAUUUUAGAAGCACGAGUAUCUAGAAUCUAGUCCACUUUAUUGUCUACUAGGUUUGCCUCCGCUACCACAGAAGCUAUCACUUCUUCAUUUUCUACUAAAUUUGCUUGAGGCGUAUGUGGAGCGACAUACAUCUGAACAUGAUUUUGUUGUCCCAUCUCAUGUAACAUUGAUAAGCUUUGUGACCUGUUUUGCCACAAACAUAGUCAUAUAUUCCUCUUUUGAAUCUUUUUAUUAUCCAUAUUAAAACCAGAAUGUUUAUUUCGUGUUUCGUUUUUCUCGGAAAAAAAUUGCUUUGCCUUUAUGCUUGCUUUUAUCGACAAGCUCAAC